UGUACCUACGGGGGGCAGCAGUGGGGAAUAUUGCACAAUGGGGGGAACCCUGAUGCAGCGACGCCGCGUGAGUGAAGAAGUAUUUCGGUACGUAAAGCUCUAUCAGCAGGGAAGAAAAAAGGACGGUACCUGAGUAAGAAGCCCCGGCUAACUACGUGCCAGCAGCCGCGGUAAUACGUAUGGUGCAAGCGUUAUCCGGAUUUACUGGGUGUAAAGGGAGCGCAGGCGGCGCGUUAAGCCUGGUGUGAAAGCCCGCCGCCCAACCGCGGGACUGCAUUGGGAACUGGCGCGCUGGAGUGCCGGAG
RNAcentral lists this ribosomal RNA (305 nucleotides) under uncultured bacterium. RNAcentral's name for it is "bacterial SSU rRNA". It matches the Rfam family "Bacterial small subunit ribosomal RNA", at positions 334 to 654 of the family's 1533-position model. The record is from RNAcentral.